Long non-coding RNA from Hyla sarda, 251 nucleotides. RefSeq lists it as uncharacterized. The record is from RefSeq and is a predicted model, not a curated record. NCBI's taxonomy places the organism in Eukaryota, Metazoa, Chordata, Amphibia, Anura, Hylidae. The transcript has 3 exons.
GUCUGCAGGUGGAGGUAUGUGUGUGGUCACAUGUGGAGGCUGUCUGAUGGUUUUUGUUCUAUUAACCCCUUCAGGACCCGGUUCCUAUAAGGUGUCAGGACGUGGCGGUCUAUUUCUCCAUGGAGGAGUGGGAGUAUGUAGAAGGACACAAGGAUCAGUACAAGGAUCAGGUCAUGAUGGAGGAUCAGCAGCCCCUCACAUCACCAGUCAGAUCCAGUAAGAGAACAGCACCAGAGAGGUGUCCCCGUCAU